Nicotiana tabacum (common tobacco) is the source of this 632-nucleotide non-coding RNA. The record is from RefSeq and is a predicted model, not a curated record. NCBI's taxonomy places the organism in Eukaryota, Viridiplantae, Streptophyta, Magnoliopsida, Solanales, Solanaceae.
CACUUACAGAGCUAGACCUACACACACUGAAAAAAUACAAAGAAAAUAUCCUUGAAAAUACACUGAUUCUACACUGCUUUUUGAGUCUCUUUUCUUCAUUUUAACAAAGAACUCCUAUUGGUUUCAUAUUUUAGCUGGGAUUUCUGAGUUCGAAUUUAAAGACGUUUUAGUUUCCUGUUUGGUAUUCUUGCUGCUGCUUUUGCUCAGAUUUUUCAGAAACUUAUUUUCUAUCUUUCUGUUUGUUUUCUUGCUGCUAUCAAGGAGAUAAUUUCAACUUAACUGGGUACGUUGAUGCUGAUUAUGCUAGCUAUCUAUUGGAUAGAAAGAUCACAUCUGGCAUGGCACAUUUUCUGGGAUCGUGUUCAUUUUUUUGGGGUACAAAGAAACAAAACUCUAUGGAUCUUUCAACUGCAGAAGCUGAGUAUGUGGCAGUUGCCUCUUGUUGUGCUCAACUACUGUGGAUCAAGCAAUAACUAGAGGACUUUGGUGUAUUUUUUGAUUGUGUUAUAUUAUUGUGUGAUAACACCAGUUCUCUCAACACGACAAAAAAUCUGGUUCAGCAUAAGAGAACAAAGCAUAUUGAUGUAUGACAUCAUUUUCUUAGAGUAAUGUUGAAAAAUGUCGUAUCUGCA